UUUCAGAUGUGGAUCAAACGC
Molecule: non-coding RNA, 21 nt
Organism: Caenorhabditis elegans
Lineage: Eukaryota; Metazoa; Nematoda; Chromadorea; Rhabditida; Rhabditidae
Source: Ensembl